AAUUUGGGGCUAUACAUUUUAUUGAAUUGUAGCGUAUUUUGACGUCUUUAGAAUUCUAGUUAUUGAAGUUUUAAAUUUGGGGGCUACAAGGGCAAAAUAAUACAUUCACUAAUAUUUGUAUUUCUUUUAUAAAUUUGAGGCUAUGUUGAGUAAAAUGGGGGCUAUAUAUAUAAUUACCCUUUAAGAAAAUAAAUUCCCCCACAGAUUCGGCCUAAAGACUUGGCCCAUUAAUAUCAUAAAUUUCAGUCAAACAAUUGCAGCCCAACAGUAGAGGCUCAAUCAAAAAAUCAAUUACUGAAGCCCAACCCAUCUCUCUUUCUUUCUUUCUUCUCAAUAAUCGGCUGAUACCUUCUCUCUCUCUCUCGUUCUCGCUGUAUACAGAACAGCACCUCUCCCUUUCUCUAAGCUCUGGCGAGGCCGGAAUCCGGUCGUCAACGCGGCAUCCCCCUUCGCCUGACUCGCAACCUCUAUCUCUUUUCCCCUCUCUCACUCACACCCUCUCUGGCGCACUCAAUCAAGGCGAAAGGGGCGAGCCCUAAUUCUCUUCUCCAUCAGAAAUCACCGCCGUUACCGAGCGAGGCCAUAGGCAUGAUUUCCUCCUUGGUUCUCUCUUCUCUCUGAUUUUCUCUAACGUAGCUCUAGUAAGGGUCGAGCCCUAGCUGUUCUCUGUUCGGUACAGCCCAACCGUCGUCAUCUCAAGAAAAAUCGGUGAGCUGCGAGGCCUAGAAUCCGCCCAUCGCUGCUGGUGGUUCGAGGAUCGGCGAGUCGAUAGCGUUCGUCGUCGUCGGUGUUGGAUCCCCCAACGCCGAUCGUGUUGUCGUGUCUUCCUUAACUGGGGUCACCGCGCUGUUGUUUCCCUGCAUCUGGUGAACGGAGCAGUCAUCCGUUGCUCCGUCGAUUCGCGGUGCCCUGCAAUGCAGUCUCCAUUCUCGCCCAACUCUUCCAAGGUCCGACCCCAGCCAACAUAACCCGCACUCGAAUCAACAGUUUGGCAGAAGCUAAGAUGAACUCAUUGACUCUCUGUUAUUGGCGUGCAAAGAAAUGGAGAGGGAUUGUUGCUGAUUCUUUAAAGGGAGUAGAGUUUGGAUGAAGACUUGAGUAUUGAUCCAUGGGAGGUUUGAGAAAAAGGGUCAAGUGUAGGGGGCUGAAUGAGCUAUUUUUGGAUGUAAAUUCAAAAGCACUAUAGUACCGGUCUGGGUUGGUUGUAAAUGAAAUGAACCGGUUUUCUGGGUUGAUUGGGUUGAUUUAAAUGAAAUGAACUAGUUAUCUAUCACUUUUGACGUGGCACUCAUCCAACGUCCCAGCCUACCACGUAUCAGCCUAGGAUAGACAUUUCCCUAUUUUUGUACCUCAACAGUUGAAGUAUGGUGGCUGAUAGUAUAUGUAUAUGGGCAGAUGGGUCCUCUGCGAUCCUUGAAAGGCUUGAUAGGAAUGAAAGAGUAGGGUGGCUGAAUGACAGCCGAAAUUGGUGCUGCAGAGCAGGGGAGGGAAUAGGCUACUGUUCUUGUACUUGCUUAAAUAUAUGACUUUGAUUUUGGUGGACUUGUAAUAGAGUUGGAAAAAAAAGUGGUGAGGUGACUAAUAAAACCUCUCAAUCUUGGUAAA
This is a long non-coding RNA of Salvia miltiorrhiza (redroot sage), 1605 nucleotides long. RefSeq lists it as uncharacterized. Lineage: Eukaryota; Viridiplantae; Streptophyta; Magnoliopsida; Lamiales; Lamiaceae. The transcript is spliced from 2 exons. The record is from RefSeq and is a predicted model, not a curated record.